Molecule: long non-coding RNA, 227 nt
Organism: Zophobas morio
Lineage: Eukaryota; Metazoa; Arthropoda; Insecta; Coleoptera; Tenebrionidae
Exons: 3
Source: RefSeq, a predicted model, not a curated record
CUUAUAAUCGAAAUUUUUUGGAAUCUAUGCUCCCUAAAAUUAACUGGGAAGCUUUUGUUUUUGCGGCUAAUCAAUUAAAGUUAAGUGUUCCUCAAUUUUGUCCGUCUCAACCUGAAGAAAAUUUUUUUGAAGAUUUACACAAAUAUCUUUUAGAGCUCUGCGUAGUAGAGUGCACCUUGGCUUGUAAUUACUGUGGUUGUACUUUUGCCGUUAGAGAAGGGAUCCCC